GAUGAACGCUGGCGGCGUGCCUAAUACAUGCAAGUAGAACGCUGAAGGAGGAGCUUGCUCUUCUGGAUGAGUUGCGAACGGGUGAGUAACGCGUAGGUAACCUGCCUGGUAGCGGGGGAUAACUAUUGGAAACGAUAGCUAAUACCGCAUGACAACAGUUAUUGCAUGAUAACUGUUUAAAAGGGGCAACUGCUCCACUACCAGAUGGACCUGCGUUGUAUUAGCUAGUUGGUGAGGUAACGGCUCACCAAGGCGACGAUACAUAGCCGACCUGAGAGGGGGAGCGGCCACACUGGGACUGAGACACGGCCCAGACUCCUACGGGAGGCAGCAGUAGGGAAUCUUCGGCAAUGGACGGAAGUCUGACCGAGCAACGCCGCGUGAGUGAAGAAGGUUUUCGGAUCGUAAAGCUCUGUUGUAAGAGAAGAACGAGUGUGAGAGUGGAAAGUUCACACUGUGACGGUAUCUUACCAGAAAGGGACGGCUAACUACGUG
Molecule: ribosomal RNA, 495 nt
Filed under: uncultured bacterium
Lineage: Bacteria
Description: partial 16S ribosomal RNA
Rfam family: Bacterial small subunit ribosomal RNA
Source: RNAcentral